Long non-coding RNA from Sarcophilus harrisii (Tasmanian devil), 215 nucleotides. RefSeq lists it as uncharacterized. NCBI's taxonomy places the organism in Eukaryota, Metazoa, Chordata, Mammalia, Dasyuromorphia, Dasyuridae. The record is from RefSeq and is a predicted model, not a curated record. The transcript has 2 exons.
AACUCCAGGCAAUUCUUCUUGUGUGUUAUUGGCCUCUCAUCUGCAAUAGUGCAUCUCACACCUGGCACACAGUAAUCCUAUAGAGACCACAGUAUGUUUAUGAAGAAAUGCUUUUACCAACCAAUGUUACUAUCUUGGAGUAAAGGAAAUUGAAAGACCCAUGAUCAGUUUCCAUCAUACUACAUAAGAGCAAGGAGAAAGGCGAUUUGGAAGGA